Molecule: long non-coding RNA, 431 nt
Organism: Lagopus muta (rock ptarmigan)
Lineage: Eukaryota; Metazoa; Chordata; Aves; Galliformes; Phasianidae
Exons: 2
Source: RefSeq, a predicted model, not a curated record
ACGCUUCUCUACCACAGAGCGCGAGGCGGUGGCUGGAGGGAACGCGCCUCUCACCGGUCUCUAUGCGUUAUCUAUGGAAGACCCGUGUGUCCGUUGCUGACAGCAAACUGGAACAAAAACCCAUCAUGGGAGCACAUCGGGCUACUCCGAAAUGAAAGAGAUUGAAUUUUCCUGACAGAACCAGAUCUAAAUCAGUAUCUCAAAAAGAUGUCUCCAAAGUUAUUGUUAGAUAAGGGCAUGCUUUUCCUGUCAGUCCUUGAGCAUUCGUCCAGGGGUGCAAAAAGGACUUAAGUGAAGGAAACAGCAGUAUCUCAUCCACAGGAGCUAUGAAAAGCACACGCGAGUGCUUGACAUAGGCUUUAGCUGGUGGUUUACCAGCAGGUAGUAUUACCCUUGUAACAAAUGUACCUAAAUAAAGGUACUUGCUUUCA